GAUUGAACGCUGGCGGCAGGCCUAACCCAUGCAAGUCGAGCGGAUGAAGUGAGCUUGCUCCUGGAUUCAGCGGCGGACGGGUGAGUAAUGCCUAGGAAUCUGCCUGGUAGUGGGGGAUAACGUCCGGAAACGGGCGCUAAUACCGCAUACGUCCUGAGGGAGAUAGUGGGGGAUCUUCGGACCUCACGCUAUCAGAUGAGCCUAGGUCGGAUUAGCUAGUUGGUGGGGUAAAGGCGUACCAUGGCGACGAUCCGUAACUGGUCUGAGAGGAUGAUCAGUCACACGGGAACUGAGACACGGUCCAGACACCUACGCGAGGCAGCAGUGGGGAAUAUUAGACGAUGGGCGAAAGCCUGAUCCAGCAAUGCCGCGUGUGUGAAGAAGGUCUGCGGAUUGUAAAACACUUUAAGUUGGGGGGAAGGGCAGUAAGAUAAGAACUUGCUGUUUUGACGUUACCAACAGAAGAAGCACCGGCUAACUUCGUG
This 485-nucleotide ribosomal RNA is filed under the name uncultured bacterium. Its description in RNAcentral is "partial 16S ribosomal RNA". It matches the Rfam family "Bacterial small subunit ribosomal RNA", at positions 27 to 507 of the family's 1533-position model. The record is from RNAcentral.